RNAcentral lists this ribosomal RNA (62 nucleotides) under Pseudomonas sp. A25(2017). RNAcentral's name for it is "partial 16S ribosomal RNA". The stretch from base 1 to 53 matches the Rfam family "Bacterial small subunit ribosomal RNA", at positions 1481 to 1533 of the family's 1533-position model. Lineage: Bacteria; Pseudomonadati; Pseudomonadota; Gammaproteobacteria; Pseudomonadales; Pseudomonadaceae. The record is from RNAcentral.
UGAAGUCGUAACAAGGUAGCCGUAGGGGAACCUGCGGCUGGAUCACCUCCUUAAUCGACGAC